CACCCAGGACGGUGGAUCACUCGGCUCGUGGGUCGAUGAAGAACGCAGCAAAUUGCGCGUCGACAUGUGAACUGCAGGACACAUGAACAUCGACGUUUCGAACGCACAUUGCGGUCCAUGGAUCCCGUUCCCGGGCCACGUCUGGCUGAGGGUCG
Molecule: ribosomal RNA, 155 nt
Filed under: Schistocerca americana (American grasshopper)
Lineage: Eukaryota; Metazoa; Arthropoda; Insecta; Orthoptera; Acrididae
Also listed under: 2 other names
Description: 5.8S ribosomal RNA
Rfam family: 5.8S ribosomal RNA
About the family: 5.8S ribosomal RNA (5.8S rRNA) is a component of the large subunit of the eukaryotic ribosome. It is transcribed by RNA polymerase I as part of the 45S precursor that also contains 18S and 28S rRNA. Functionally, it is thought that 5.8S rRNA may be involved in ribosome translocation.
Source: RNAcentral